UGGUGUCCUUUCACGCUCUCUUCUUUGUCUUGCUGUAAUCUAAUCACCCAAGGCCUCUCCAGUCAUCAUUAAGCAUAUUCCCACUGGUCGGGGAGCUCCCUUUGAAGCAUCACUUUAGAGCAGCUGUCACAUUUGAGCAGCAUCUGCUUUCUGACAAGCUCAAAGACCGAAUGAAGGAAGUCACUGAGUCUUUCCCAGUGAGAGUGGGUAACACAAGCAGCCUUUGGGACUGCGAUCCAGAAUAUGCUUCUGUGUCUACUCUACAAAGUGCACAUCCCCAUCUGCUGCUCCUUGUUUGACUGUAUUGGCUUCUCAAUUGUCCUCUUGCCCCCACCUUCCCACUGCCUGCGGGGGGACAACCCACCCCCACCUGGGCUUUGAUGGCCCUGGAAAGAAGUUGGGUGCCGGGAAUGUAAAUGGAAGGUGGAGGAACCUACCUUGAGCAAUUCCAGUUGUGGGGCAGGUGACAGCUCCAGUCUGGGGGAUGGGCCUUAAAGAUGGCAGCUGUUUCUGGGCAAUGUGACAGUUGCAAUAGGUAAGCCAGAGGAGGAGGACUGAGAGAAAUCAGAGGAGGGUGGGGGAAAGUAGGGGAUACAGAAGUGAUGGGCCAGCAGCCAGUCCAACCAGUGAUAAUCAGAAAAGGAGGCAGAAGAGUAAGGCCAGUGGAAGCUCAAUGUCAGGAGGAAAGCUGAGGAGGAGCUGGCCCUGGGGGAGAAAACCAGGGGCGUGAGACCCUGCCAGAGAGGCUGUUGCCCAGCUCUGCGAAGUGUAGGCAGGCAGCGUGGGGGUAGAGCCAAGAGGAAAGGGAGCCUUAAAGACCCUUUUUCCCCACCCGUCUCCGGCCCUUUUGUUCUUUUUUCUUUCAUGUUCCUGUUCUCAUGUUAUAUUAGCAGCAGAAAACAAAACAAAACAAAAGGCAGUCUGUCUUGGAAAGGGAAUGGCAAGAUCUGGAGAAUUUAAAGCUGGAUGCACUUCCCUCUUUGCUGAACUCUUAGGCCCCUUUGGCCAUUUGGCUGCUGGAGUCCUGAGAGCCAGCCCCUUCCUGGAAAACCUUGAAUGGAGUCCCUCUACCAGCUUGACAGCCCAGCCCGAGUGCCAGUGGCAAGGGCAUCCAGCCGCGGUGUGCGCCCACAGAACCCCUCUGGGCGCAUGGGGCAGCCAGGAGAGCAGGGCUGUUGGCCAUCCCAGCUGGAGGGCUGGGGCUCGUCUUAGGCAGGGUCUGGGCUGAGAGGUGGCUUCCAUCAUGUGAUGUCAACCCAUCAUGGGCUCCUCCCCUAGGAACUGAGCUGCAGAGGCCUGUGGUAGAAGAAAGAGAAAGGAAAACUCUUGCUUAAAAAAUUUUAAUUGAAGAGGUAAUAAAUGCAUGUGGCAAAAAAUUAAAAGGUACAAAAGAAUUUACAAUCAAAAGUCUACCACUCCUCUUCUCCUCAAGUUACCCUCCUCAGAGGUCCCUGGAUGUUCCAAUUUCUGUUGCAGGUCCUUCUAGUUGUGGGAUGUGGGACGCCGCCUCAACGAGGCCUGACGAGCAGUGUCAUGUCCGCGCCCAGGAUCGGAACCCUGGGCCGCAGCAGCAGAGCGCGCGAAGUUGACCACUCGGCCACGGAGCUGACCCCUUUUUGGACCAAAUUUUAUUCCAUCCCCAGGUCUGGGAGUCCAUCCUAACAUGUACCAGAUGAUGAGGUCCUUGAUAAAGAAAUGAGUAUUCCUAAGAGCUUGGGUCCUGGCACCAUCCUGAAUCGGGC
Molecule: long non-coding RNA, 1742 nt
Filed under: Equus asinus (donkey)
Lineage: Eukaryota; Metazoa; Chordata; Mammalia; Perissodactyla; Equidae
Description: lncRNA (ENSEASG00005028478.1)
Source: RNAcentral